RNAcentral lists this unclassified non-coding RNA (401 nucleotides) under soil metagenome. RNAcentral describes it as "partial contains 5.8S ribosomal RNA, internal transcribed spacer 2, and large subunit ribosomal RNA". The stretch from base 1 to 120 matches the Rfam family "5.8S ribosomal RNA", at positions 36 to 154 of the family's 154-position model. The record is from RNAcentral.
AUGAAGAACGUAGCGAAAUGCGAUAAGUAAUGUGAAUUGCAGAAUUCAGUGAAUCAUCGAAUCUUUGAACGCACCUUGCGCCCUUUGGCCAUUCCGAAGGGCAUGCCUGUUUGAGUAUCAUGAACACCUCAACUCUCAUGGCUCGCCAUGAUGAGCUUGGACUUUGGGGGUCUUGCUGGCCUGUGGUCGGCUCCUCUCAAAUGGAUCAGCUUGCCAGUGUUUGGUGGCAUCACAGGUGUGAUAACUAUCUGCGCUUGUGGUUUUCCAUCAGAUAACCUUCAGUGAUGGAGGUUCGCUGGAGCUCAUAAACGUCUCCCCUAAGCGGGGACAGCCCUUUGAAUGUUUGAUCUCAAAUCAGGUAGGACUACCCGCUGAACUUAAGCAUAUCAAUAAGCGGAGGA